UACGUAGGUGGCAAGCGUUGUCCGGAUUUACUGGGCGUAAAGAGCGCGCAGGCGGCGUCGCAAGUCAGGCGUGAAAUCCCCGGGCUUAACCUGGGAACUGCACUUGAAACUACGAUGCUGGAGUAUGGCAGAGGGAGGUGGAAUUCCACGUGUAGCGGUGAAAUGCGUAGAGAUGUGGAGGAACACCGAUGGCGAAGGCAGCCUCCUGGGCCAAUACUGACGCUCAUGCACGAAAGCGUGGGGAGCAAACAGG
This 253-nucleotide ribosomal RNA is filed under the name uncultured bacterium. RNAcentral's name for it is "partial 16S ribosomal RNA". It matches the Rfam family "Bacterial small subunit ribosomal RNA", at positions 524 to 776 of the family's 1533-position model. The record is from RNAcentral.